This is a long non-coding RNA of Calliphora vicina (urban bluebottle blowfly), 862 nucleotides long. RefSeq lists it as uncharacterized. The transcript has 2 exons. NCBI's taxonomy places the organism in Eukaryota, Metazoa, Arthropoda, Insecta, Diptera, Calliphoridae. The record is from RefSeq and is a predicted model, not a curated record.
AUAUAAACAAACAGACUUGUCAAAACAAAAUUGUAUUUUCUUUAUCAUUCCAAGAAAAAUGGAAAUUUAUGUAGGAAAUAUUCCACCUACAAUCAAAAUUGAGGAAUUGUCUUUCUUGUAUCAAUCAUUUGGUGCAAUUGUAUUUAUUGAUAUUAAAAACCGGUGCCAACCUCCUUUUGCCUUUAUCCUAUUUGAUAAUACCGGGUCUGCUUAUAACGCCGUCGCAUCUACAAAUGGUUGCAUGUAUCAAGGCUAUCAGUUUCAGGUAAAAUUGUUAACUCCUGAUGACAAUGCUAGUGACAUUAGGGAUAAAUCGGUGGAUGAGGAGCUAAAACAGCCUAAAAAAAGAAGAAAAAAAAUACUUCCUACGCCAGAAAAUGAUAAGACUGCAGCAUUGGAUGAGCCAUUAAGAAAAGGACAAAGUGGAGCUGACACUAAAUAUCUACGUUAUCUGGAACGAGGCAUUGCACCGAAAAUAAAAGCGGAAGAGAAUAAGCUCAUAACUUUAGGAGGCCCUAUAGAAAUUGCUAGAAAAAAAGCAGAACGCAAUUUUUUAUUUAAUAAUAGAACACUAAAAGUACUUAAGUAAUUAUAGUGUGAAGUAAGUAAACUUUUAAAACAUGCUCCGAUUAAUAAGCAGAGCCUAUUAAAUACAAAGCAUUAGCAUUGAAACUUUAUAGUUUAUUAACAUUAUUGCUACAUUUCGUUACAAAUCUGAUGAAAAGUUUUCAACUGAAUUUAAAGGAAAAUCUUUAUGUACUGGAAAUUUAUGCAAAGAUUGAACAUAUUUUGAUAUUUAAGCUUUGCUGCGUGAAUAUUAAUAAAUAUAAGUUAUUUCUAAAACUUAUUUAAAAAACAAAAA